Molecule: long non-coding RNA, 381 nt
Organism: Micropterus salmoides (largemouth bass)
Lineage: Eukaryota; Metazoa; Chordata; Actinopteri; Centrarchiformes; Centrarchidae
Exons: 2
Source: RefSeq, a predicted model, not a curated record
CCAUGUCCCAUCUGUUUCUUGAAAUUUACACCACAGUUUGUAGAGAUCCAUGCUAGCAUGUGUGGAGAAAGAGAAAAGGACAAUCUUAAGAUGGCUGAGACAACUGCUGCGAGCCAGAACAAUGGAGAGGAGCACAUCAAAAGGUAAAUACUGUGUUGUCUAAAUACAUAAACAUCUUCAUCCUACACAGAUCUUAAUUCUGCAGGUUUUGCAGUCAACAUUAGUAGCUAUUUAUUGAUUCUAAGUUUGGUUUGGCAGUGUUGAUGAUGUAUUGGAUGCCAUGUGUGGAAGAGUUGACCUAGAGAAACAGUUCAACAUCCAAAUCUCCAGAACAAACAUUCUGGAGAGAGGCCUACUGCAGUGGCAGCGUCAAAAAAAAAA